This 245-nucleotide ribosomal RNA is filed under the name uncultured Actinomycetales bacterium. RNAcentral's name for it is "partial 16S ribosomal RNA". It matches the Rfam family "Bacterial small subunit ribosomal RNA", at positions 796 to 1041 of the family's 1533-position model. The record is from RNAcentral. Lineage: Bacteria; Bacillati; Actinomycetota; Actinomycetes; Actinomycetales.
CAUGCCGUAAACGGUGGGCGCUAGGUGUAGGGGUCUUCCACGACUUCUGUGCCGUAGCUAACGCAUUAAGCGCCCCGCCUGGGGAGUACGGCCGCAAGGCUAAAACUCAAAGGAAUUGACGGGGACCCGCACAAGCGGCGGAGCAUGCGGAUUAAUUCGAUGCAACGCGAAGAACCUUACCAAGGCUUGACAUGCACCGGUACAGUGUAGAGAUAUGCUGGCCUUUUUGGCUGGUGUGCAGGUGG